GACGAACGCUGGCGGCGUGCUUAACACAUGCAAGUCGAACGGUGAAGCUCCAGCUUGCUGGAGUGGAUCAGUGGCGAACGGGUGAGUAACACGUGAGCAACCUGCCCCUGACUCUGGAAUAAGCGCUGGAAACGGCGUCUAAUACUGGAUACGAGAAGGGUCCGCAUGGGCACUUUCUGGAAAGUUUUUCGGUUGGGGAUGGGCUCGCGGCCUAUCAGCUUGUUGGUGAGGUAAUGGCUCACCAAGGCGACGACGGGUAGCCGGCCUGAGAGGGCGACCGGCCACACUGGGACUUAGACACGGCCCAGACUCCUACGGGAGGCAGCAGUGGGGAAUAUUGCACAAUGGGCGAAAGCCUGAUGCAGCGACGCCGCGUGAGGGAUGACGGCCUUCGGGUUGUAAACCUCUUUCAGCAGGGAAGAAGCGAAAGUGACGGUACCUGCAGAAGAAGCACCGGCUAACUACGUG
RNAcentral lists this ribosomal RNA (468 nucleotides) under uncultured bacterium. RNAcentral's name for it is "partial 16S ribosomal RNA". It matches the Rfam family "Bacterial small subunit ribosomal RNA", at positions 28 to 507 of the family's 1533-position model. The record is from RNAcentral.